UACAGAGGGGGCGAGCGUUGUUCGGAAUUACUGGGCGUAAAGGGCGCGUAGGCGGCCUGCUAAGUCGAACGUGAAAUCCCUGGGCUCAACCCAGGAACUGCGUCCGAUACUGGUUGGCUUGAAUCCGGGAGAGGGAUGUGGAAUUCCAGGUGUAGCGGUGAAAUGCGUAGAUAUCUGGAGGAACACCGGUGGCGAAGGCGACAUCCUGGACCGGUAUAGACGCUGAGGCGCGAAAGCCAGGGGAGCAAACGGG
This 253-nucleotide ribosomal RNA is filed under the name uncultured bacterium. Its description in RNAcentral is "partial 16S ribosomal RNA". It matches the Rfam family "Bacterial small subunit ribosomal RNA", at positions 524 to 776 of the family's 1533-position model. The record is from RNAcentral.